Danio rerio (zebrafish) is the source of this 815-nucleotide non-coding RNA. Lineage: Eukaryota; Metazoa; Chordata; Actinopteri; Cypriniformes; Danionidae. The record is from RefSeq and is a predicted model, not a curated record.
GUGACUCUGAUUGGUCAUCAUCAUAAUGUGCUGCUAUUCGUAGAUCGGCUCCACGUCACGCCCGUAAAAGCAUGCGCUUUUUAACCUCCCGCCCGUUCUCUAAAAUAACAUCUGACAAGUGUCUGUAACGAGGGAAAAUGGGGUGCAGCUCCUUACACAGCGUUUGUGUGUGCGUCUAUGUGUGUGUGAAUGUGUGAACUUUCUGUAACAAGCGCAAGUGUGCGGGACUUUUUUUUUACUCUGAUGCUCGGAUUAAGUUAUUUUCUGUAAUAUAUCGUGACAGAAGAAUAAAGCACAAGAUGUGGGAUGCUACCUGUUGAGACCUUGAUUUAUUAUUGUAGCUGCCGUCAGAAGCAAUGCUUAUAUAUUACACUCUAUAAACAUAAACUUUACAUUAAAAAAGUCAAUAAAUAGUUAAAAUGUUCAGAGUAAUCAUUAGAAUAAAUAAGUAAUGUACAUUUGUUGUUAAUGCAUGUUAAUUCAUUUAAAGUUAUUUAACUAAAACUAUAAGGGGGAGGGGGGAACCUUUUCUUGUUAUGUUUAGCUUGGGAAUUAUUUCAUUGUUGCAAUCAAGAUAUUCUUCCGAUGCACUACAAGUAGUUCAGCCACAAGGUGCUGUGCUAAAACAAGUUUUUAAAGAUUAAGAAGUGCAAAGAAGUUUGUUUAAGAGAAACUGCAACCCUUCAAGUUUAUUCCUCUUGAGUUAGAGAGGCCAAUGAGUUCUGACGGCAAUAUUGGGACAUAAAGGAGUGCAAGGCUAGAAUGUACAAGACAUACUACAGACUCGUGUCCGAAUAAAUGUCAGUUAAAAUCAA